Molecule: ribosomal RNA, 253 nt
Filed under: uncultured bacterium
Lineage: Bacteria
Description: partial 16S ribosomal RNA
Rfam family: Bacterial small subunit ribosomal RNA
Source: RNAcentral
AACGUAGGUGGCGAGCGUUAUCCGGAUUUACUGGGCGUAAAGCGUGUGCAGGUGGCUGGUUAAGUGGUGUAUGAAAUCGCCCGGCUCAACCGGGCGGGGUUAUGCCAGACUGGCCGGCUCGGGUGUGGGAGAGGGAUGUGGAAUUCCGGGUGUAGUGGUGAAAUGCGUAGAGAUCCGGAGGAACCCCAGAGGCGAAGGCGGCAUCCUGGCCCACGACCGACACUCAGACACGACAGCAUGGGGAGCGAACGGG